RNAcentral lists this ribosomal RNA (691 nucleotides) under uncultured Cortinarius. Its description in RNAcentral is "eukaryotic LSU rRNA". It matches the Rfam family "Eukaryotic large subunit ribosomal RNA", at positions 1 to 651 of the family's 3401-position model. Lineage: Eukaryota; Fungi; Basidiomycota; Agaricomycetes; Agaricales; Cortinariaceae. The record is from RNAcentral.
GACUUGGACAAUCCUUUAUUAAUGUGACCUCAAAUCAGGUAGGACUACCCGCUGAACUUAAGCAUAUCAAUAAGCGGAGGAAAAGAACUAACAAGGAUUCCCCUAGUAACUGCGAGUGAAGCGGGAAAAGCUCAAAUUUAAAAUCUGUCAGUCUUUGACUGUCCGAGUUGUAAUCUAGAGAAGUGUUAUCCGCGCUGGCCCGUGUACAAGUCUCCUGGAANGGAGCGUCAUAGAGGGUGAGAAUCCCGUCUCUGACANGGACUACCAGGGCUUUUGUGAUGCGCUCUCAAAGAGUCGAGUUGUUUGGGAAUGCAGCUCAAAAUGGGUGGUAAAUUCCAUCUAAAGCUAAAUAUUGGCGAGAGACCGAUAGCGAACAAGUACCGUGAGGGAAAGAUGAAAAGGACUUUGGAAAGAGAGUUAAACAGUACGUGAAAUUGCUGAAAGGGAAACGCUUGAAGUCAGUCGCGUUGUCUAGGAAUCAACCUUGCUUUUGCUUGGUGUACUUUCUGGUUAACGGGUCAGCAUCAAUUUUGAUCAUUGGAAAAAGGUUAAGGGAAUGUGGCAUCCUUGGAUGUGUUAUAGCCCUUGAUUGCAUACAAUGGUUGGGAUUGAGGAACUCAGCACGCCGCAAGGCCGGGUUGUUAACCACGUACGUGCUUAGGAUGCUGGCAUAAUGGCUUUAAUCGACCCG